UUCCGGUGAUGACCUCCAUUCUGUGCCAUGUGUCUGGGCCGCUGACUUGUGGAG
This is a small nucleolar RNA of Oncorhynchus mykiss (rainbow trout), 54 nucleotides long. Ensembl annotates it as small nucleolar RNA, C/D box 66. Lineage: Eukaryota; Metazoa; Chordata; Actinopteri; Salmoniformes; Salmonidae. The record is from Ensembl.